AAAGAACCAAAAAGACAGAAAUGAC
RNAcentral lists this non-coding RNA (25 nucleotides) under Drosophila melanogaster (fruit fly). The record is from RNAcentral. Lineage: Eukaryota; Metazoa; Arthropoda; Insecta; Diptera; Drosophilidae.